CACUAAGUGGGAGGUAAACUCCUUCUAAAGCUAAAUACCGCCAUGAGACCGAUAGAAGACAAGUACCGUGAGGGAAAGUUGAAAAGCACUCUGAAUAGAGAGUCAAAUUGUACGUGAAACUGCCUAGGGGACGCAAACCUGUUGAACUCAAUGAUCCGGGCGGCGAUAUUCAGCGGUGGUCCACCCGUACGGGUUGGCUGCCGUGCACUUAUCGGUGGCAGUAACGGACAUCGCGAUCCAUUACAAUGGGGCAUUCCGGCAACGGCCCCUAGCUCGUGGUUGGCGGCUUUCUAGUAAGGUGGCUCGGCGGCCUCCCUGAGCGAAAGUCUCCGCGCCCUUCAUACCAGAGGGGCGCAGGGCCCGACCGAGCUUGGUGUGCCGCUGGAAGUGUGAUGGAUUGGUAUGAGCGGGGUUCGAGUGUGUGGUCUUAAGCCGGAGACCCGAAUAACACUCGCCCCCGAUCGGUGAUGACGCAGUAUGCAUUGAGGCACUUUCGGGACCCGUCUUGAAACACGGACCAAGAAGUCUAUCUGGCGCGCAAGCCAAUGGGUAAAUGGUGCGGUACGCCGCCCAUGACUGGAAACCCACAGGCACAGACAAAUCGAGUGUUGCGGGAUUACGGGUACGGCCGAUGGCGCAAGCCUUCGUCGGACCCCUCCAUCCCAGGGUGUCCCGUUCGGGUGCUUGCACCCAGCGGACAUCCCCGGAGUGCGUAGGAUGUGACCCGAAAGAUGGUGAACUAUGCCUGAUCAGGUUGAAGUCAGGGGAAACCCUGAUGGAGGACCGAAGCAAUUCUGACGUGCAAAUCGAUUGUCAGAGUUGGGCAUAGGGGCGAAAGACCAAUCGAACCAU
RNAcentral lists this ribosomal RNA (852 nucleotides) under Anopheles fluviatilis S. Its description in RNAcentral is "eukaryotic LSU rRNA". It matches the Rfam family "Eukaryotic large subunit ribosomal RNA", at positions 286 to 943 of the family's 3401-position model. The record is from RNAcentral. Lineage: Eukaryota; Metazoa; Arthropoda; Insecta; Diptera; Culicidae.